UACGUAGGGAGCGAGCGUUGUCCGGAAUUACUGGGUGUAAAGGGAGCGUAGGCGGGCGAGAAAGUUGAAUGUUAAAUCUACCGGCUUAACUGGUAGCUGCGUUCAAAACUUCUUGUCUUGAGUGAAGUAGAGGCAGGCGGAAUUCCUAGUGUAGCGGUGAAAUGCGUAAAUAUUAGGAGGAACACCAGUGGCGAAGGCGGCCUGCUGGGCUUUAACUGACGCUGAGGCUCGAAAGCGUGGGGAGCAAACAGG
This 252-nucleotide ribosomal RNA is filed under the name uncultured bacterium. Its description in RNAcentral is "partial 16S ribosomal RNA". It matches the Rfam family "Bacterial small subunit ribosomal RNA", at positions 524 to 776 of the family's 1533-position model. The record is from RNAcentral.